RNAcentral lists this ribosomal RNA (253 nucleotides) under uncultured bacterium. RNAcentral describes it as "partial 16S ribosomal RNA". It matches the Rfam family "Bacterial small subunit ribosomal RNA", at positions 524 to 776 of the family's 1533-position model. The record is from RNAcentral.
UACGUAGGGUGCGAGCGUUGUCCGGAAUUAUUGGGCGUAAAGAGCUUGUAGGCGGUUUGUCGCGUCUGCUGUGAAAAUCCGGGGCUCGACCCCGGACUUGCAGUGGGUACGGGCAGACUAGAGUGUGGUAGGGGAGACUGGAAUUCCUGGUGUAGCGGUGAAAUGCGCAGAUAUCAGGAGGAACACCGAUGGCGAAGGCAGGUCUCUGGGCCACUACUGACGCUGAGAAGCGAAAGCAUGGGGAGCGAACAGG